UAAGCUUCAAGUAUGUCAUUUGUACCUUAUUUAACUUGUCUCCAAAUUUUUUUUUUGUACUGUACAGCCCAUGAUGGCACCGUUGGAAAGCUUUGCUCAGAGUGUAGGAUCAACAACAGCAAUAACACUUGAACAUGAUGCUGAGAGCAGUUUAAAGGGGUCAACAUAUGAGCCUGAGUGCGACGAUAGCUUGCAGCCCAGGAUUGGAAUGUUUUUUGAUAGCUGGGAGGACGGAGAGGCGUUUUACACAAGAUAUGCACAUGAGGCCGGGUUCUCAGUUCGUAGAUUUACACAACACAAAGGUGGUCAUGGUGCAUCGGUGUGGAAGCGUUUUAUUUGCGCAAGGCAAGGAUGGAGGGAAGAGAAAUAUAUUCCAGCCAGCCAAGUAAAUAAGCCUAGGAGGAAGUGAAGUUAAGAAGACAUUUUUUUUUCAGUUUCGUUGUGCGAUAAGGGGGUCAAGAAGCUGCGUCGCCCAGGUCUAAUCCAGGCCUAUCCACAUGAUCAUUAUUCGCCUUUUCCCCUUCCAGCGUGCUGUUUAGUUUUGAUUUCUCAUGGAUCCAUGGAGGUACUGCAGUCUUCUGCCAAAUUUAGGCAUAACUUAACAAUAAACCUGUUAUCGCCUCACAUUUGGGUUAAUUUAAUUAAAGAUAUGCUUAGAUAGUCCAAACAGCCAUGGUAUAUGGGUGCAGUUGUGCAGCUCAUCAUUUAGUGUCUAGAGUUUACAAGUGCACAACAUUAUACCACAAUCAUUCUACAAGUACAUAGUAUAAAACAUAUAUUUGACCAAUUCUGUUCGUUGUUGGUUGGCUCGUGGGCAGGUGCUCAGAGCAAUUCAGAUAAGCAGUGGUCUGUUUAUUUCAUAAAAAUAUUUAUCUUAUAGACAUGAUCAAGGAGUAUCGCAAAUAUAGUAUUGCAUGGCACUUAACUUUAGCCCUUCAAACCAUGUCCAUUCUGUAAUUUAGAACGACCAGGCAUGCGAGUAGAGCACUGGAACUCUUACUGCUAUAGUAACAUGUUUGUAUAACACAUGUUCAUUUGCUGAUGACAUGGUUCUCGACAUGGUCUGAAUAUUGUUAUUGGUAAGUCAUAAACCUCACAGUAAUCUGGACAGACUUGCGAUGGAAGCUACUCUCGACAUGACUCAUACAGUACUCUGACCAUGAUAUUGUUAUUACUGUUUGACUGAUACAGGGAGAACUAAGGUUGCUUUUAGGGAAUA
Lolium rigidum is the source of this 1219-nucleotide long non-coding RNA. RefSeq lists it as uncharacterized. The record is from RefSeq and is a predicted model, not a curated record. NCBI's taxonomy places the organism in Eukaryota, Viridiplantae, Streptophyta, Magnoliopsida, Poales, Poaceae. The transcript is spliced from 3 exons.